UAACACAUGCAAGUCGAACGGCAGCACAGUAAGAGCUUGCUCUUAUGGGUGGCGAGUGGCGGACGGGUGAGGAAUACAUCGGAAUCUACCUUUUCGUGGGGGAUAACGUAGGGAAACUUACGCUAAUACCGCAUACGACCUUCGGGUGAAAGCAGGGGACCUUCGGGCCUUGCGCGGAUAGAUGAGCCGAUGUCGGAUUAGCUAGUUGGCGGGGUAAAGGCCCACCAAGGCGACGAUCCGUAGCUGGUCUGAGAGGAUGAUCAGCCACACUGGAACUGAGACACGGUCCAGACUCCUACGGGAGGCAGCAGUGGGGAAUAUUGGACAAUGGGCGCAAGCCUGAUCCAGCCAUACCGCGUGGGUGAAGAAGCCUUCGGGUUGUAAAGCCCUUUUGUUGGGAAAGAAAAGCAAUCGAUUAAUACUC
RNAcentral lists this ribosomal RNA (424 nucleotides) under forest soil bacterium 2S2.G3. Its description in RNAcentral is "bacterial SSU rRNA". It matches the Rfam family "Bacterial small subunit ribosomal RNA", at positions 49 to 469 of the family's 1533-position model. The record is from RNAcentral.